GAUGAAGAACGUAGCGAAAUGCGAUAAGUAAUGUGAAUUGCAGAAUUCAGUGAAUCAUCGAAUCUUUGAACGCACAUUGCGCCCCUUGGUAUCCCGAGGGGCAUGCCUGUUCGAGCGUCAUUUCACCACUCAAGCCUGGCUUGGUGUUGGGCGACGUCCUAUUUGGGGACGCGCCUCGAAACGCUCGGCGGCGUGGCACCGGCUUUAAGCGUAGCAGAAUCUUUCGCUUUGGAAGUCGGGGCCCCGUCUGCCGGAAGACCUGCUCGCAAGGUUGACCUCGGAUCAGGCAGGGAUACCCGCUGAACUUAAGCAUAUCAAUAAGCGGAGGA
This 329-nucleotide unclassified non-coding RNA is filed under the name soil metagenome. RNAcentral's name for it is "partial contains 5.8S ribosomal RNA, internal transcribed spacer 2, and large subunit ribosomal RNA". The stretch from base 1 to 120 matches the Rfam family "5.8S ribosomal RNA", at positions 35 to 154 of the family's 154-position model. The record is from RNAcentral.